GUAAAGUGGCGACCGGGUGAGUAACACGUGACUAACCUACCUUCGAGUGGGGGAUAACAUCGGGAAACCGAUGCUAAUACCGCAUAACAUCCCGAGAUCAAAGCAGCGAUGCGCUUGAAGAGGGGGUCGCGGCUGAUUAGCUAGUUGGCGGGGUAACGGCCCACCAAGGCGAAGAUCGGUAGCCGGCCUGACAGGGCGCACGGCCACACUGGAACUGAAACACGGUCCAGACUCCUACGGGAGGCAACAGUGGGGAAUUUUGCGCAGUGGGGGAAACCCUGACGCAUCAUCGCCGCGUGGAGGAUGAAGCCCCUUGGGGUGUAAACUCCUUUCGACCAACACCAUAAUGACGGUACUGGUGGAAGAAGCACCGGCUAACUCUGUGCCAGCAGCCGCAGGAAUACAGAGGGUGCGAGCGUUGUUCCGAAUUAUUGCGCGUAAAGGGCGCGUAGGCGGCGCGACGAGUCACUUGUGAAAUCUCCUGGCUUAACUCGGAGGCCUGCAAGCGAAACUGUCGUGCUGGAGUAUGGGACACGUGCGUGGAAUUCCCGGUGUAGCGGUGAAAUGCAUAGAUAUCGGGAGGAACACCUGUGGCGAAUUCCGCGCACUGCACCAUAACUGACACUGAUGCGCGAAAGCUA
RNAcentral lists this ribosomal RNA (641 nucleotides) under uncultured bacterium. RNAcentral's name for it is "bacterial SSU rRNA". It matches the Rfam family "Bacterial small subunit ribosomal RNA", at positions 90 to 762 of the family's 1533-position model. The record is from RNAcentral.